UGGGGAAUAUUGGACAAUGGGCGCAAGCCUGAUCCAGCAAUGCCGCGUGUGUGAAGAAGGUCUUAGGAUUGUAAAGCACUUUCGACGGGGACGAUGAUGACGGUACCCGUAGAAGAAGCCCCGGCUAACUUCGUGCCAGCAGCCGCGGUAAUACGAAGGGGGCUAGCGUUGCUCGGAAUGACUGGGCGUAAAGGGCGUGUAGGCGGCAUAUUGAGUCAGAUGUGAAAUUCCCGGGCUUAACCUGGGGGCUGCAUUUGAUACUGAUAGGCUAGAGUUCGGAAGAGGGUCGUGGAAUUUCCAGUGUAGAGGUGAAAUUCGUAGAUAUUGGAAAGAACACCGGUGGCGAAGGCGGCGACCUGGUCCGAUACUGACGCUGAGGCGCGAAAGCGUGGGGAGCAAACAGGAUUAGAUACCCGCGUAGUCC
This 424-nucleotide ribosomal RNA is filed under the name uncultured bacterium. Its description in RNAcentral is "bacterial SSU rRNA". It matches the Rfam family "Bacterial small subunit ribosomal RNA", at positions 355 to 796 of the family's 1533-position model. The record is from RNAcentral.